CACAAAUACAAUAUGAAGGCUUCGGCUGGAUUAUUUAUUUCACCCCUUGUCUUUUGCGCACUUGUUGUUUCCUGGGCGGGUUCGCCCGCCACCAGGACCACACCAUAAACCUUUUUUGUUAAUGCAGUCAGCGUCAGUACAACAAAUGUAAAUCAUUUA
This 159-nucleotide unclassified non-coding RNA is filed under the name soil metagenome. Its description in RNAcentral is "partial internal transcribed spacer 1". The record is from RNAcentral.